Molecule: ribosomal RNA, 208 nt
Filed under: uncultured bacterium
Lineage: Bacteria
Description: partial 16S ribosomal RNA
Rfam family: Bacterial small subunit ribosomal RNA
Source: RNAcentral
CACGUAGGCGGACUCUUAAGUCGGUGGUGAAAUCCUGGAGCUCAACUCCAGAACUGCCUUCGAUACUGGGAGUCUUCGAGUCCGGGAGAGGUGAGUGGAACUGCGAGUGUAGAGGUGAAAUUCGUAGAUAUUCGCAAGAACACCAGUGGCGAAGGCGGCUCACUGGCCCGGUACUGACGCUGAGGUGCGAAAGCGUGGGGAGCAAACA